This 312-nucleotide ribosomal RNA is filed under the name Triticum aestivum (bread wheat). RNAcentral's name for it is "partial small subunit ribosomal RNA". Lineage: Eukaryota; Viridiplantae; Streptophyta; Magnoliopsida; Poales; Poaceae. The record is from RNAcentral.
AUGCGAUGCCAUUUCCAGCGCAGGUUUGCAUGCAUACGGUCGCUCACCAGUACUAGUUAUAAACAGGACAAAAAUGCUGACGUCAGCCAAGAUUUCUAUGAAAUUCAGAUCUCAAAAUGUUUUGUAGCUCAAACCGUUGAUCCGAUUGAAAAAUUGUUUUCACGUAAAAAAAUUGUCACGACGAGAUCUUCGAAACUAGAUCCCAUGUUGGUAUGUUCCGAUGAUUUUUUUUUGUCAAAAGUUACCAUGCAUAUGCAUAAGCUACAUAAGUUAUCAAUCUAUUCACACCGGACUUAUCAUGCAUCAAAUUAA